The submitters of this non-coding RNA (84 nucleotides) gave its source as unclassified sequences. The record is from Rfam.
UGUGCCGCAAGGCGGACUUAUGCUGUACCCACAGCGUAGCAGCUAGAACCUGCAUCGGACUUCUAACAAAGGAGAAAACAAAUG